Molecule: ribosomal RNA, 469 nt
Filed under: Aegla franca
Lineage: Eukaryota; Metazoa; Arthropoda; Malacostraca; Decapoda; Aeglidae
Description: partial 16S ribosomal RNA
Rfam family: Bacterial large subunit ribosomal RNA
Source: RNAcentral
CGCGGUAUUUUGACUGUGCGAAGGUAGCAUAAUCAUUUGUCUUUUAAUUGAAGACUUGUAUGAAUGGCUGAACGAGAAAAUAACUGUCUCUUUAAAAAAUCUUGAACUUUACUUUUAAGUGAAAAGGCUUAAAUAACUUUAAAGGACGAUAAGACCCUAUAAAUCUUUAUAUUAUUUUUCUUAAACUUUCAAAUUAUAUUUUAAAAGAAAAAAAAGAAAAAAAAUAUUAUAUUGGGGAGAUAAAAAUAUAAUUUUUAACUGUUUUAAAUAUAAAACAAUAAUUUUUGAUUUAUUAAAAAUUGAUCCUUUUUAAAGAUUUUAAGAUUAAGUUACUUUAGGGAUAACAGCGUAAUUUUUUUUGAGAGUUCUUAUCGAAAAAAAAGUUUGCGACCUCGAUGUUGAAUUAAAAAUAUCCUUAUAAGUGCAGAAGCUAUAAAGGAAAGUCUGUUCGACUUUUAAAAUUUUACGU